CAAGGUUGCUGAUCUCUCCGGAUGGUAGAGUGGCUUUUAGUCAAGUUCAGAUCCUGUCUGGCCAUCCAGGUGCAGAUGUGGACCAAGUACCUCCUCAUGCCCCAGAAUGCAUCACGGCAUG
Molecule: long non-coding RNA, 121 nt
Filed under: Mus spicilegus (steppe mouse)
Lineage: Eukaryota; Metazoa; Chordata; Mammalia; Rodentia; Muridae
Description: lncRNA (ENSMSIG00000024824.1)
Source: RNAcentral